UACGAAGGGGGCUAGCGUUGCUCGGAAUCACUGGGCGUAAAGGGUGCGUAGGCGGGUCUUUAAGUCAGGGGGGAAAUCCUGGAGCUCAACUCCAGAACUGCCUUUGAUACUGAGGAUCUUGAGUCCGGGAGAGGUGAGUGGAACUGCGAGUGUAGAGGUGAAAUUCGUAGAUAUUCGCAAGAACACCAGUGGCGAAGGCGGCUCACUGGCCCGGUACUGACGCUGAGGCACGAACGCGUGGGGAGCAAACAGG
RNAcentral lists this ribosomal RNA (253 nucleotides) under uncultured bacterium. RNAcentral's name for it is "partial 16S ribosomal RNA". It matches the Rfam family "Bacterial small subunit ribosomal RNA", at positions 524 to 776 of the family's 1533-position model. The record is from RNAcentral.